GAUCAUGGCUCAGAUUGAACGCUGGCGGCAGGCCUAACACAUGCAAGUCGAACGGUAACAGGAAGCAGCUUGCUGCUUUGCUGACGAGUGGCGGACGGGUGAGUAAUGUCUGGGAAACUGCCUGAUGGAGGGGAUAACUACUGGAAACGGUAGCUAAUACCGCAUAACGUCGCAAGACCAAAGAGGGGGACCUUCGGGCCUCUUGCCAUCGGAUGUGCCAGAGUGGGUAUUAGCGUUAAGGG
RNAcentral lists this ribosomal RNA (242 nucleotides) under uncultured bacterium. RNAcentral describes it as "partial 16S ribosomal RNA". It matches the Rfam family "Bacterial small subunit ribosomal RNA", at positions 15 to 253 of the family's 1533-position model. The record is from RNAcentral.